Molecule: ribosomal RNA, 354 nt
Filed under: Stenopelmatus faulkneri
Lineage: Eukaryota; Metazoa; Arthropoda; Insecta; Orthoptera; Stenopelmatidae
Description: Stenopelmatus sp. 4 AGV-2020 partial small subunit ribosomal RNA
Source: RNAcentral
CUAUUAUUUAAAGUGUUAAAUUAAUAGCUUGAGUAGUAUUAGUUAGGUUCUUAAAACUCAAAGAAUUUGGCGGUGUUUUAGUCUAUUCAGAGGAAUCUGUCCUGUAAUCGAUAAUUCACGAGUAAUUAGACUUAACUUUGUAAGUUCAGCUUGUAUAUCGCCGUCAUCAGAUUAUUUUUGAAGAAUUUAAAUUUUCUAAAAAUUGAUUAGAUUAUAUGUCAGGUCAAGGUGCAGUUUAUAGUUAAGAAGAGAUGGAUUACAAUAAAUUUAUUUAUACGGAUAUUAGUCAUGAAUUAAUUGAAGGUGGAUUUGAUAGUAAUUUUAUUUACUGGUAGUUUGAUGUAGCUCUAGUAC